AUGCUGAAUUGGGAGCACAUACACUAAAACUGGACCAAUUUGGAGAAAAUCAGCAUGGCCCCUGCUCAGGAUGACAUGCAUAUUGGUGAAGUAUUCCACGUGUUA
Molecule: small nuclear RNA, 105 nt
Organism: Onychomys torridus (southern grasshopper mouse)
Lineage: Eukaryota; Metazoa; Chordata; Mammalia; Rodentia; Cricetidae
Source: RefSeq, a predicted model, not a curated record